UGCAUAGCUGAUCCGAGAUGUUGCAACUCUA
RNAcentral lists this non-coding RNA (31 nucleotides) under Mus musculus (house mouse). The record is from RNAcentral. Lineage: Eukaryota; Metazoa; Chordata; Mammalia; Rodentia; Muridae.